AACGAACGCUGGCGGCAUGCCUAACACAUGCAAGUCGAACGAGACCUUCGGGUCUAGUGGCGCACGGGUGCGUAACGCGUGGGAAUCUGCCCUUGGGUUCGGAAUAACUUCGGGAAACUGAAGCUAAUACCGGAUGAUGACGUAAGUCCAAAGAUUUAUCGCCCAAGGAUGAGCCCGCGUAGGAUUAGCUAGUUGGUGAGGUAAAGGCUCACCAAGGCGACGAUCCUUAGCUGGUCUGAGAGGAUGAUCAGCCACACUGGGACUGAGACACGGCCCAGACUCCUACGGGAGGCGGCAGUGGGGAAUAUUGGACAAUGGGCGAAAGCCUGAUCCAGCAAUGCCGCGUGAGUGAUGAAGGCCUUAGGGUUGUAAAGACUCUUUUACCCGGGAUGGUAAUGACAGUACCGGGAGGAAUAAAGCUCCGGCUAACUCCGUGCCAGCAGCCGCGGUAAUGUGACU
This 459-nucleotide ribosomal RNA is filed under the name uncultured bacterium. RNAcentral describes it as "bacterial SSU rRNA". It matches the Rfam family "Bacterial small subunit ribosomal RNA", at positions 29 to 530 of the family's 1533-position model. The record is from RNAcentral.